Molecule: signal recognition particle RNA, 99 nt
Filed under: Clostridia bacterium
Lineage: Bacteria; Bacillati; Bacillota; Clostridia
Description: signal recognition particle sRNA small type
Rfam family: Bacterial small signal recognition particle RNA
About the family: The signal recognition particle (SRP) is a universally conserved ribonucleoprotein involved in the co-translational targeting of proteins to membranes. Archaeal SRP consists of a 7S RNA and homologues of the eukaryotic SRP19 and SRP54 proteins. In most bacteria, the SRP consists of a 4.5S RNA and the Ffh protein (a homologue of the eukaryotic SRP54 protein).
Source: RNAcentral
CGGCAGGUCCUGCACGGCGAAGCGCCGUGAACCAUGUCAGGCGGGGAACCGAGCAGCAUUAAGCGGGCCGUUUUGUGCGAUGCAGUUCGCCUGCCGCCU